CCCUCGGAGCAGGUACGGGAGGGUUGAGUACGCGUGGGUAACCUGCCCUGUACACACGGAUAACAUACCGAAAGGUAUGCUAAUACGGGAUAACAUACUUUUAUCGCAUGGUAGAAGUAUCAAAGCUCCGGCGGUACAGGAUGGACCCGCGUCUGAUUAGCUAGUUGGUAAGGUAACGGCUUACCAAGGCGACGAUCAGUAGCCGACCUGAGAGGGUGAUCGGCCACAUUGGAACUGAGACACGGUCCAAACUCCUACGGGAGGCAGCAGUGGGGAAUAUUGCACAAUGGGCGAAAGCCUGAUGCAGCAACGCCGCGUGAGCGAUGAAGGCCUUCGGGUCGUAAAGCUCUGUCCUCAAGGAAGAUAAUGACGGUACUUGAGGAGGAAGCCCCGGCUAACUACGUGCCAGCAGCCGCGGUAAUACGUAGGGGGCUAGCGUUAUCCGGAAUUACUGGGCGUAAAGGGUGCGUAGGUGGUUUCUUAAGUCAGAAGUGAAAGGCUACGGCUCAACCGUAGUAAGCUUUUGAAACUAAGAGACUUGAGUGCAGGAGAGGAGAGUAGAAUUCCUAGUGUAGCGGUGAAAUGCGUAGAUAUUAGGAGGAAUACCAGUUGCGAAGGCGGCUCUCUGGACUGUAACUGACACUGAGGCACGAAAGCGUGGGGAGCAAACAGGAUUAGAUACCCUGGUAGUCCACGCCGUAAACGAUGAGUACUAGCUGUCGGGGGUUACCCCCCUCGGUGGCGCAGCUAACGCAUUAAGUACUCCGCCUGGGAAGUACGCUCGCAAGAGUGAAUA
RNAcentral lists this ribosomal RNA (796 nucleotides) under Clostridium sp. AL04-11. Its description in RNAcentral is "bacterial SSU rRNA". It matches the Rfam family "Bacterial small subunit ribosomal RNA", at positions 83 to 899 of the family's 1533-position model. Lineage: Bacteria; Bacillati; Bacillota; Clostridia; Eubacteriales; Clostridiaceae. The record is from RNAcentral.